GGAUGGAUCAUAAAAAAGUAGUAUGUGGUUGAAUUUACAGGCUUGUGAAAAGAAUUGUCUACCCUAUAAGAGGUACGGAUAAAGGAUGAAUCGUUUGCGACACCGAUGAAGGUCAUAUGAACAUGUGAAAAUCUUACGAUACUGAGAUGGGAAAACGUAGAAGCCGAAUACUUUUGCAAAUAGACACCAGUCAACAACUUGCAGAAUACGGAACAUUAUUUACUGCCGUUGUGCAGAUUAGUUUACCGAAAUUCUUGAUCAGCUAAUUACGUCAAAUAAUAUUUGGAGAAUCGCUUGUAUGUGGCUGACGAGAUCACCCGUUGGAUUUAAGCAUAUUAGUAAACGGAGGAAACAGAAUCAAUUGAGUCUAGUCCAAGUGGCGAACUUUCAACUGACGAAGCAAGUGCGAAAUUGUCGAUGUGACAAUGCUGUGCAUUACUGUAAUUCUCGGUAUUUUAUGCAGUGGAUAAAAGCUUAUGUGUACCAAUGGAGGUAAAAGUCCUCGACCGUCUGUAUAUAGCCAGAGUCAGUUGAGCGGAGUAGAAUAUCUUGGAAACGAUGUUCGAAUCGGUGGGUUUCCCGAUCGAACGUCAAAUAUUUUCGCAAAACGAUAGCAUAUUAGUACCGUGAGGGAAAUGUUGAAUUCGGGAGGGUUCAGUACUGAAAUUAUUCGUCAGAAAUAUUCUCGACACAAGCAUGCUUUUUCAUGGAGUUUAUUGUGUUGAGGAGACCCGUCUUGAAACACGGACCGAGGAGUUGUGAGUGUGAGCAAGGCUAUGCAAUCAAAAGCGGAGUCAGUAAUGAAGGACUGAGAGUUACCACUCACAAACCCGAAAGGAGGUGAUCUACCCCACAGGAGGAUGAAGCUAGUAGAACAACUAGUGGAGGUCCGCUGCGAUACUGACGUGCAAAUCGUUCGCUUCACUGUGGAGUAGGGGCGAAAGACUAAUCGAACCUCCUAGUAGCUGGUUCCAUU
Molecule: unclassified non-coding RNA, 976 nt
Filed under: uncultured fungus
Lineage: Eukaryota; Fungi
Description: sequence contains 18S rRNA gene, ITS1, 5.8S rRNA gene, ITS2, 28S rRNA gene
Rfam family: Eukaryotic large subunit ribosomal RNA (bases 294-976)
Source: RNAcentral